This 104-nucleotide Y RNA is filed under the name Propithecus coquereli (Coquerel's sifaka). Its description in RNAcentral is "Y RNA (ENSPCOG00000005091.1)". It matches the Rfam family "Y RNA". From Rfam's summary of the family: Y RNAs are components of the Ro ribonucleoprotein particle (Ro RNP), in association with Ro60 and La proteins. The Y RNAs and Ro60 and La proteins are well conserved, but the function of the Ro RNP is not known. Lineage: Eukaryota; Metazoa; Chordata; Mammalia; Primates; Indriidae. The record is from Rfam by way of RNAcentral.
GGUUGGUAGUCUGAGUGCAGUGGUAUUUACAACUAAUUGAUCACAACCAGUUAUUGAUUCCUUUGUCCUUCUCCACUCCCACUGCUUUGCUUGACCAGCCUUAA